Molecule: non-coding RNA, 1681 nt
Filed under: Huiozyma sinensis
Lineage: Eukaryota; Fungi; Ascomycota; Saccharomycetes; Saccharomycetales; Saccharomycetaceae
Description: Kazachstania sinensis small subunit ribosomal RNA
Rfam family: Bacterial small subunit ribosomal RNA
Source: RNAcentral
AAUAAAAUAAUAUAAAGAACAUGAUGUUGGUUCAGAUUAAAUGCUAAAUAAGGACAUUACACAUGCAAAUCAAACGUUUAUUAUAAGUAUAAUAAUAAAUAAGUGGUGUAUACGUGAGUAAAAAAUAGAAAUAAUGAACUAUAAAUUAAGUUAAAAACUUAAUAAAUAUUUAUAUAAAUAUAUAAAUAAUAAAUAAUAUAUAUAUAAUAUAUUAGUUUAUAGUCAAGUCUAUAAUGGUUUAAGGUAGUAGGAUUAAUAAAGUUAAGUUUGCCUAGCCAACGAUCCAUAAUUGAUAAUAAAAGUUAGAACAAUCACGUUGAUUUUGAAAUAUAAUCAAUAUCUAUAUGAUACAGCAGUGGGGAAUAUUAGACAAUGAUCGAAAGAUUGAUCUAGUUACUUAUUAGGAUGAUAUUUAAAUAUAUAAAUAAAAAUAAUAUAAAUAAAUUGAUUAAAAAUAAAAUCCAUAUAUAAUUUAAAUAAUGAUUUAAAAUUACCUAUAUUAUAGUUAAAUAUAAUAAAUAGGUGUAUUCAGUAUAUAUAUAUUUAUAUAUAUAUAAAGGAUAUAUAUAAUAGUCUUAACAAAUAAUUGUGCCAGCAGUUGCGGUUAUACAAUGAAGGCUAGCAUUAAUCAUAAUGGUUUAAAGGAUUCGUAGAAUGUAUAUUAUUUAAUAAUAUAUAGAGUUAAUAUAAUAUUAAUUAAAGAAUUAUAAUAGUAAGGAUGAAAUAAUAAUAAUAAUUAUAAGACUGGUAUAUAUGAAAAUAUUAAUUAAUAAUUAACUGACAUUGAGGAAUGAAAACUAAAGUAGCAAAACAGAUUCGAUACCUGUGUAGUUUUAGUAGUAAACGAUGAAUAUAAUUAUUUAUUUAAAUAUAAUAAAUAAAUAAUAAAUGAAAAUAAAAAUAUUCCACCUGAAGAGUAUAUUAGCAAUAAUGAAACUCAAGACAAUAGACGGUUACAGACUUAAGUAGUGGGGUACGUGAUUUAAUUCGAUAAUCCUCGAUAAUCUUACCAUAUUUUGAAUAUUAAUAAAUAAUAUUUAUUUAUUAUUACAAGUGUUACAUUGUUGUCUUUAAUUCGUGCUGUAAAGUUUUAGAUUAAGUUCAUAAACGAAUAAAACUCCAUAUAUAUACUAAUAAAAUAUAAUAUAUAUUUAUAUAUAUUAUAUAUUAAUUAAAUUAAUUAUAUAUAUUAUUAUAUUAUCAAUUAAUAUAAUGAAAAGGAAUUAAGACAAAUCAUAAUGACCUUUAUAAUAUGGGCUAUAAACAUGCUAUAAUAAAAUGUAUAAAAUUAAAUAAAAUAAAUUAUUUUUAAUAAUAUAUUAGAAUUAAUAAUAAAAAACAUUUUAAUCUUUAAUAUAAUUUUAUAUUAUAUAUAAUAUGGAUUAUAAUCUGAAAUUUGAUUAUAUGAAAUAAGAAUUACUAGUAAUACGUAAAUAAUAAUGUUACGGUGAAUACUCUAACUGUUUCGCACUAAUCACUCAUCACGCACUGAAACAUAUUAUUAUCCUAAUAAUAAUUAUAUAUUAAUUCCAAUCUUACAAGAAAGGAAUAUCGUAAGAUGUAAUUUAAUUAUUAUUAAUAUAUAUUAUUACAAGAAAUAAUACGAAUUAAUGCGAAGUUGAAAUACAGUUACCGUAGGGGAACCUGCGGUGGGCUUAUAAUAAUCUUUAAUAUUCUUCAU